This 3607-nucleotide ribosomal RNA is filed under the name Hanzawaia sp. 6863. RNAcentral's name for it is "small subunit ribosomal RNA". It matches the Rfam family "Eukaryotic small subunit ribosomal RNA". Lineage: Eukaryota; Foraminifera; Rotaliida; Anomalinidae. The record is from RNAcentral.
GACACUUUAAAUAAGUGUUAAAUGCUACAUUAAACUUAUCACCACGCAUACGAUUUUGUUUACAGUAGUAACAAUUUCAGCGUGUUUCACAUAUCAUACGCACGUGAUUCACUGGAAAUUACCCUACAUUCAGUAUCACUUACGCAACUGCAGACAGCUGCUUAAUACAGUCACACUUGUCUUGACUUGGCGCAAUAAAAAUUUUUCAUUCGAAACACCCGCUCGCCGGGCACGUACGGGUGAAUUAUUUUUAUUUUGUUGCAACACGCACAACAAAAUAUAUUUUGAUUUCUCUGUAUCGCUUAUCAUUUAAAGACACAUGCGUUACACCGUGACAAUUUUCUUUAUGGAUAACUCAGGGAAAGUUUGGCUAAUACGUACGAGUACUUUUUUUUUACCACACACACACACACACACACUCGAUUCAAAAUUUAUUUUUUGUUAUUGCCGUGUAUCAACACACAUAUAUAUAUACUCAGCACUCAAUGGUAAACUUUGGCUGCGCUCGCGCAGUCAGUUUAAAGUUUAACUGCAACAUGAGAGACAUUGAGCACGCACGUGUCGUGUCUUCGGGCACGUCACAUCACGCUGAGCAGACUUUGCGAAGUUUACUUUGCGAAGCAUGUCAUACAAGCAUCUACAGCAUCAAGUCACAGGGUUGGCAAGUGUAUUUUUGAACCUUCAAAGCAGUCACGCAUACGGAAGAGUAGUUUCUGAUCCCAUAGAAGGAGCACCGUACAAUGAGAGACCGCUCUUAGUUCUAAGGAACGCAGCAGGCGCGUAAAUUGCCCAAUGCUAGUACCCUACAAUCAAAUUGUAUUACCAUGCAUUACACACAAUUUACAACACAUAACAAGUUUACCCGUGUUGCAUUAUCAUAUAACACUAUACAUACAAUAUUUUAUUCUGUCAUCACACACACACACACACACAGAAUACAUCCUUGUUCGUUGUUUAUUCAGCAUAUAUAUAAUAUUAAUUUAUUAUGUUUACUGAGGCAGUGACAAGCUGUAACGGUUGAGUAUAAAAAUGACGAGUGUCUGGCAUUGCCGCUCUUUCGGGAGCUUGGCAAGUUGCCGACGCUUUGUGUGCUCAAUUGGAAUGCGGUGAGUUUAAGCAACUCAGAACCUUUGGACGGUGUUAGUAAUAUUUCACNNNNNNNNNNNNNNNNNNNNNNNNNNNNNNNNNNNNNNNNNNNNNNNNCCGCGGUAAUACCAGCUCCACUGGCCUAUACAAUCAUUGUUGCGGUUAAGAGGCUCGUAGUUGGAUUGAACUGCAAAUAUGAAUGAAUUCUCAUUCUGUUUGGAAGUUUUACGCGUAAUCAUUAAUUUCCACAAUUUUUGGUUUUGCGUUCGACGCUGUUAUUUAUUUACACGGCACAAAUAUUUUUUUUUAUUUUUGUCCCGCGCAGCAUAUACUCACACACACACACACACACGUUAUAUGCACACACACACACACACAGCGCGCACAAAAAAAAAAUAUUUGAUCUCAUCAAACACUCGCUCAAAAUUUAUUCUCCUUUCAACACUGUGAACAAAUCAAAGUGUAUCAAACAUGUCGUUUUUGAAUGUGCAUUGAAUGUCUUAUCAUGGGAUGUUGCNUUUUCUACGUNAAAAAUUUUUACAGCAUUACCCCGUAAUANUUUUACACACACACACACACACACACACACACGGUAUAUCAAAGUAUUUACAUUGUUGCGGCCUUUUGAAGGAAGUUAUACUAACAACUAUUUACAGCGAUAUCCGUCACACACGCACAUGUUAUAUGCCACGUAAAUUUUUUUUUAACGGUUAAAAAUGUCGAUGGGGAUAGUUGGAGUCAACAGUACUGCUGGGCGAGAGGUGAAAAUUCNNNNNNNNNNNNNNNNNNNNNNNNNNNNNNNNNNNNNNNNNNNNNNNNNNNNNGUGUAUUUAUAUAAUAUAUAUAUACGUAUUUUUUAUGCGACACUCACACACACACGCCAACGUAGUUACCUGCUAUUAAUUUUUCGCGUUCAUACACACACACACACUCCGACGCACACACGCAAAGAAAUUUUUUUGGCGCGGUAUUAUCUACGUAGCAUAUUAAUACUAUAUACAAUAUAUAUAUAUAACACUUUACAAUGAAGAACGAAGGUUGGGGGAUCAAAGAGGAUCAGAUACCCUCGUCGUCCCAUUAAUUACAUCAAACGAUGGGCUCUCAAUUGCAUUUUUUCAUAAAUUGCAAAUUUCCUCAGCCUACAAAAUGACUUGGCUUGAGCUCGUAUUCUUUUAUACGCUCGCCUAACUUUUUUCGUACGGUCUCGAUGGACGUUUCAUUUAUAUUUUUUGCGUGUAAGCAUUUGUUAUUCUUUGAAACAUAAGAAUGCAUUGCGUGCACUUGAUUUUCGGAGCUUUGCGCUCAAUUCUGGUGAGAUGUAAGCACUGUGUCAUACUACCCGCAGCAUAUGUCCUCGGGCAUUUUGUCUGUCGUGCGUAGUUGACAAUCUUGGUGUGAAGCACGCUUUAGGCACGCGCUUACUGCAGAAAUGUCUGAGACAUUCCCCUCCGGGGGUAGUAUGCACGCAAGUGUGAAACUUGAAGGAAUUGACGGAAGGGCACCACAAGAACGCGUGGAGCAUGUGGCUUAAUUUGACUCAACGCGGGAAAUCUUACCGGGUCCGGACACACUGAGGAUUGACAGGCAAUAUUAAUACGUUGUUAGUUUCGCGACUCAGCGCGUAUUAUGUUAAAUAUGCUAGUCCUUUCAUGAUUAUGUGAUAGGUGGUGCAUGGCCGUUCUUAGUUCGUGGAGUGAUCUGUCUGCUUAAUUGCGUUUCACUAAGGGCUUAUAAAUUUACGUGUGUUGCGGCACUUUGACCCCUUUCAAUUUAUUUUGAAAGCGCGUGUCUUAGUUUGCUUUGCUCACACAAUUAAGUCCUGAAAGCAACGAACGUGACCGCAACCUCUUGUUGCCUUUAUACCAAACAUGUUUAUUUAUAUAUAUAUUUUUUUAUAUAUAUGCAGUAUUCAUGAAAAAAGGCUUUUUAAACUAGAGGGACCGCUGUUACUUUCUUAAACCAGAGGAAGGUUGCGGCAAUAACAGGUCUGUGAUGCCCUUAGAUGUUCCGGGCUGCACACGUGCUACAAUGAUUAUUGCAGUGAGCAUCUCAUUUUUACACACCGCAUGCGCGAGUCCAUUUAUUCACUCUCUGAGUGUUUUAAAUGUGUAUCUCUGCGCGCGGUAAAGCCUGCUUCGAGAGCAAGUGGGUAAUCAAUUAGAAGUAAUGAUUUCCGUAUUAGCACACAUAUAUACGGCAUCUUUACCCGGGUUACCUUGUUGUAACUUUUGUGCGUAUAGAUGUUUUUUCCGUAUGUGCGAUUGUCAAUUCAUGGUGGGGACAGACCAUUGUUAAUUGUUGGUCUCGGUCUUAACUAGGAAUGCCUUGUACGGGUCUUUGGUUCAACAAACCACCCGGAAUACGUCCCUGCCCUUUGUACACACCGCCCGUCGCUCUUACCGAUGGACUUCUCUGUGAGUUUGAGGGACUGGGAACGCAGCAAAAUUUUAUUAUUUUCUCGCACACCUAUGGAAACUUAAACGAACAGUGUGGUCUAAAGGAAAGAGAAGUCGUAACAAGG